AAUGUACAAAAAAAAGACAUCUUCGAAACGCAAGUUGUGUUACAUGCAUAUAUCUUCGGUCAAGCAUGAAGAAACACAGAAUUUCACCAAUAUACGGUGGAAUACAUAUCGAAAUUUUCGGCAGCGGCUAGAAUUGAAGGGUGAGUGCAGAGACUAGCAGAACAUUUUAAGCAAUGUAUUGAGUUGGAGUUUGACGAAAUUCCCGAGGAUGCGGCUCUCCAUCCCACAUGCUACCGGAGGUUUAUUGACAAGCGGGAAAUUGAACGAGUCACACGGCGUGUCUUGCGAGAGGCAGAGAGGGGAGAUGGCCAACAAGACCCCCGAACUAGCCAGGCUACCUCCGCUUUAUCGGCUGUGACCACCACUCCGACCAGGAAACUGCGAUCCAGAUCAAGCUUGGCCAUCACGAGCUCUGGCCCCGUUCUUCCUGCUGUCUGCAUGAUUUGCAAGAAAGACAGCAAAUUUAUCGUCGCGAGUGGCAGACGUCAAAGAGAACGAAAACACAGACUUUAACCGCAGGCAAGUUGCAGGAAGCAGCUGAAGUAAAGGAAGCCAAGAGCAUCCUCAUUCACAUCAAGGACAGAGACUGUGUGGCUCUGGAGGUGCAGUACCACAGAAGUUGCUACAGAGAGUACACAAGGUUUUUGAGUGAGCCUGUCAGAGCAGAGAAAGAACAGAUUGGGCCAACAUUUGAUCUGAGCUACAAGUUAUUCUGCGAGAGGGUAAUCCGCUAAAGGCUACUGAUCAACCAAGAGGUGCUGAGGAUGAGCCAACUGAGGAAGGCCUUUAUUGCCCUUGUGCAGUCAAGUGAAGGUGUUGAUGCUUCAACCUACAGACAGGAUAUAUUGAAGAAGAGGCUCAGUCGUGAUUUUCCUCAGCUAGUGUUCCACACCCCCGCCAAACGCAACACAUCUGAACUGGUUUUUGCUGAGAACUUGUCGACGAAUGCAGUCUUGGACUUGUUACCAUCAGGUGCGGAGACGACUCAGUCCAGCGAAAUGAGCCAGACAGACAGCGACACAGAAAGGAGGAAGUCAAAGCAACCAACCACAGCAGAGGAGACACGGACACUUUACACAGCAGCUUUGCUUUUGAAGAGGCUGCUUAGUCACAGUCCUGGCAUGUCAUGCCCAUGGCCCCCAACUGCAGUAAACUUCAAUCUCACUGAAGUCAUUUGCUGUGGCAUGCGCAAAAGAUGUGUACCUGGAUGCUUUCACACAGUUCAUGAAAAUGCCGGUUCAUGUGUAUGCCACUUGUUUUGAUUUUUUUAUUUGUUGUAUAGUUAUUAGUGAAUAAAUGAAUACAUGAA
This is a long non-coding RNA of Engraulis encrasicolus (European anchovy), 1309 nucleotides long. RefSeq lists it as uncharacterized. NCBI's taxonomy places the organism in Eukaryota, Metazoa, Chordata, Actinopteri, Clupeiformes, Engraulidae. The record is from RefSeq and is a predicted model, not a curated record. The transcript is spliced from 4 exons.